Molecule: small RNA, 3284 nt
Filed under: Mytilus galloprovincialis (Mediterranean mussel)
Lineage: Eukaryota; Metazoa; Mollusca; Bivalvia; Mytilida; Mytilidae
Source: RNAcentral
AUGGCUAUGGUUGAUUCUGGAGCUACUAUUAGCGCAAUUUCGGCAGAUUUUUAUUAUGCAAAUUUGCAUAAGAAGGUUACACUUAAAAAGGCAUCUCUUCUUGCAACUGGAGCAAGCGGAGCAUCUUUAAGAGGAAUAGGAACAAUUGAUGUCCCUAUAGAAAUAGGUCGUUUAACCAUGCAACAAACUUUUCAUAUUUUUGAAAAUUUCGCACAUUCUAUUAUUCUUGGUUUAGAUUUCCUAGAUCAACAAAAAGCUAGGCUUAAUUUUGAUGACAAAACCCUUGUUCUACAGUCUGGUAUUACUGAAGUUCCCCUUACUAAUGGUGAUAAUAAUGACAAUAGCAUAUGCUUUAUUUCUUUAGUUAACGAUGAAGUAAUUCCCAGUAGGUCAGAAGUCAUUAUCCCCGUUCAAACUGUUGACAAAAGUAUAAAAUCUAAAUUAGGUAUUAUUGAACCGAACCCAGCCUUGGUUGGUAAACAGAAUAUUGUAGGUGCCACAUGUCUUGUACAAAUAAGAAACAAUAAAACAUUUUUACAAGUUCUUAAUCCUACAAAUGCCAAAGUACGGUUAUCAAAACACACAAAAAUAGGCAAGUUCAGUGAAAUUAUAGAGAACUCGAUUUCAAGUGAAAUCACUGAUGACACAAUAGAAAUAAAUUCAAUAGAUAAGGGUACACAAAAUAAAUAUAAUGAAGCAAAGUACAUCGAAAUAGCUAAAAGUUUAAAUUUCAAUUUUUCUGACUCUGAUUUAACAACAGAACAAAAACAAAAACUAAUGGUAAUGUUAGGUACAAAUAGGGACGUUUUUGCUAUGAAUUUAUCCGAACUUGGUUGUACAGAUCUCCAUCCCCAUCGUAUUGAAACAGGCGACGCGCAACCUGUAAGACAAAGGUUCUACAGGCAAUCACCAGCCGUUAAAGGAGAAGCCAGCAAACAUGUAGAAGAGAUGUUAAAAUACGAUAUCAUAGAACCGUCACAAAGUGAAUGGGCCAGUCCCAUUUGUUUAGUCCAAAAGAAGAGUCCAAAGUCAGCAUCGUCAACACCCAACACGCCACAGUAUAGGUUUUGCGUUGAUUUUCGUCUCCUGAAUACUUUGACGACUAAAAAAGUGCACCCGAUUGUUCAAAUGGACGAUAUUGUUGAUAUGUUAGGCGAGGCGAAGGCGAAAUUCUAUAGUACCGUCGAUAUGUUCAAUGGAUUCCAUCAAAUAAAGUUAGAUCCGGAAACUAAACAUAAAACCGCAUUCACAUGUCACGAAGGAGUCUUCGAAUUCAACCGACUACCAUUCGGCCUCUCUAACAGUCCGCACACUUUUCAGCUUGUAAUGUCCGAAGCCCUCCGCGGAAUAAACUGGAAAAAUGCACUAGUCUACAUGGAUGAUGUACUCGUUUUUUCAAGAACAUUUGAAGAGCAUCUGCAACACCUUACGAUUCUAUUUCAAAAGCUACGGGAAACCAAUCUAAAACUUAAACCUACAAAAUGUACUUUCGCUGCAAAAGAAGUAAAGUUUUUAGGCCACGUUUUAUCAAAAGAUGGAAUUGCUGUUGACACAACCAAGACAGAUGCAGUAAAACAUUUCCUGUUCCCCAAAAUACAACAGAUGUCAGAGCAUUUUUAGGACUUGCAAAUUACUACAGGAAGUUUGUUAAAGGUUUUUCUGAAAUUGCUAACCCGUUACACAGACAGCUUGUGAAAGGAGCUAAAUUUAUUUGGGACAAGAGCUGCCAACAGUCAUUCGAAGAGAUAAAGAAACUUUUAAUCUCAUCUCCAAUACUCGCGUUUCCAGACUUUUCAAAAGAUUUUAUACUCUACACGGACGCUUCACAGAUCGCUAUUGGUUACAUUCUUGGACAAAAAGAUCAUAAAGGCAGAGAACAAGUCAUUGCUUAUGGUGGACGAUCAUUACGAGGAGCUGAAAAGAACUAUUGUAUCAGGGAUCUUGAAUAUUUAGCGUUGGUUGAAGGAGUUAAACAAUAUCAUGUUUAUUUGGCUAGCCGAAAAUUCAGAAUAUAUACAGAUCAUGAAGCACUUAUACACAUCCAGAAGCUCACGAAGGAGAAAAUCACAGGCCGACUUGCAAGAUGGGCUAUGUUUCUACAAAGCUACGAUUAUGAAAUAAUUUACAAAAAGGGAACGGCUAAUGGUAACGCUGAUGCAUUAAGUAGAAGACCAUAUGACAACGAGAUAGCUACUAUUACAACAGCUACAGUCGAGUCGUCAACACAGACAGAAGCCUCUUUCAUCGAGUUAGACCCGUAUGCGUCCAUUUGCGAAAUAACCACAAGUCCAAAAGAAAAAGUAGUAAAUGAUCAACGGACAGAUGAAAAUUUCAAAGAUGUCAUUAAAUAUAUAUUGGAUAAAGAACUACCUGACAAGACCAGACAAGCUAGAAAAACGGUUAUUGAAUCACAAGAUUAUAUCAUAGACGAUGACGUAUUAUUUCAUUUAUACUACCCGAAAGGAAAAGGUCACAGAGCGGAUAGGAUAGUUAAACGAUUGGCAGUACCAUUAACCCUAAGAGACGAUAUCCUAAAGUCAUACCAUGACAGCUUACUCGGUGGACACAAUGGCAUUGAACGUACUUACCAUACAAUACGAUAUAAAUACUAUUGGCCUGGUAUGUACAAUGACAUUCAACAGUACGUACAGACGUGUAUGCAGUGUCAAAAAGCUAAACCUGACGCCCAUAAGCGCCCGACACCACUGCAACCACUUCCUGUGCUGGACGUAUUUAGAAGAGUACACAUGGACAUCUUAGGACCAUUUAGAAAAAGUUCCGGCGACUACACACACGUUCUACUAAUAGUCGAUUCAUUCACAAAAUUUAUGGAAAUACUUCCUAUGAAACAUACAGGCGCGAAAGAUGUAGCUGACCUAUUUUAUAACCAGUGGAUAUGCCGUUAUUCAGCGCCUGAUGCGAUCCUGACAGACAAAGGACAAAACUUCAUGUCGAAUAUAUUGAAGGAGGUUUGCAAUAUCUUCGAAAUCCAAAAGAUAAAUACCAGUAGUUACAGACCCCAAACAAACAGUACAUGCGAACGGAAUAACAAGACAAUAGCUGAAAAACUUCGCACAUGCAUUGAUGCCAACCAGUUAAAUUGGCCAGACAAAUUACCAAGUAUUGCUCAUGCUAUGAACACGUCAGUAUGCACUGAAUCGACACAGUACACUCCGUAUUUCCUCGUAUUUGGAAGAGAAUGCAGAACGCCUAUUGACACAGUUUUAACAGAACCGUCCAAAGUCGGACCAGUCGCUAAGCAGUAUAUAGACAAAGUUACAUGA